Homo sapiens (human) is the source of this 1248-nucleotide long non-coding RNA. RefSeq lists it as uncharacterized. Lineage: Eukaryota; Metazoa; Chordata; Mammalia; Primates; Hominidae. The record is from RefSeq and is a predicted model, not a curated record. The transcript is spliced from 3 exons.
CACUCGGCAAGGGAGGAAAAUAAAAGGAGAAUCAAGUGAAGGGAAAGGAGAAAGGAGGCAGAAGAGAACACAAGAAGUUCCCUUUAACAGGAGGAAAAUGGCUUUUUAGGAAACAGCGAUGAUCUAAAGGACAAAGAAGUUGAUUCUACAGAAAACCAUGAGAAUCUACAAAUUCCACCGUUUAAACAGGUCAGCUUCACCUGUUAUGAUUAGAGUUAACAGAGAAAUGGAUAUCAACAGGUUUCCAGGAAAUAAGUCUGGUGAUGCAAUCACAAAAGAUGAUACCUCACUUUAAAUCUGAUGACUUCAAAGUAGGCCUGAGAUGACUACCCUCAAAUAGGUUGAUUUUGGCAUCAGUAACACUACAGGUAAAAGCGUGCAUUAAAACUGAAGCCACAGCCUGCACAUUUGCUUCUGUAGUCCAGCAUUUAGCUUGUCUGCUGAAGAACGGUUUUAAAAAUAUCCCAGAGAAGAUGACACCACUUAUACUCUUUGACAAAUGAAUUGGGAGAUGAACAGACAUUGAAAAGAAUAUAGGAAAUGUAUCACAUUGUUUAAAAAUAAAGUCAAAAACAUCCUUUAGAAGCUUCAGAAACAAAAGCAGUAGUGUAUAAAAAAAAAGUCCUCAUUCUCAUUCAGCAACUAUGACCGAGCGCCCACUCUGCGCAAUGAGAUCUAUGAAGCAUUCAGUCAUCCGAGUUACAAGCGUGCGACGCCCAAGCAACAUCUUCCACCUGUCCCCUGCUGCAGCAUCCUCAGCCUCGGCCCUCUCCUCUGCCUCCGCGGUCUCUGUCAUCAGCAUCGUCUGCUCCAUCCUCGCUCUCCCAGUUCACACCCUUCACUUCUAAUCAGCACUCUGGCUAUAGCCUGUUCUAAAUUCUACCCACCUCUGACAUGCUGGGUCAUGCAAAAACAUUCAGGAGUAGGUCAUUUCUAGUCCAACCAAUGUCCGACUAAUUUAUCGUCGUAUGGAGGAACCUCCUCCACUUUUGUGGGGUAAACAGUUCCCGUGCCUUUCCUCAAACUCCUUUACAGGGUAUUCUCAGCGUUUUCUUCUCUUGAAUUCUUAGGAAGUGAACAUAAUUAUGGGACCAGAAUGGACAGCUAGAUGUACACCUGGAGUUAUGUUAAAUUGUGAACUGUUGCUUUAAAAAUGGGCUGGCCUUGAUGUCGCUGCUCCAGUGAGAACCGAAGCAGGGGCGGCGGCAGCAAAGCGCCUGUUCCCUGAAAAGCAGACCUCAGAACAGG